AGUGGCGGACGGGUGAGUAACGCGUGAGAAUCUGCCUUCAGGUCGGGGACAACAGUUGGAAACGACUGCUAAUACCCGAUGUGCAGCAAUGUGAAAGAUUUAUUGCCUGAAGAUGAGCUCGCGUCUGAUUAGCUAGUAGGUGUGGUAAUGGCGCACCUAGGCGACGAUCAGUAACUGGUCUGAGAGGAUGACCAGUCACACUGGGACUGAGACACGGCCCAGACUCCUACGGGAGGCAGCAGUGGGGAAUUUUCCGCAAUGGGCGAAAGCCUGACGGAGCAAUACCGCGUGAGGGACGACGGCUUUUGGGUUGUAAACCUCUUUUCCCUGGGAAGAAGAUCUGACGGUACCAGGGGAAUCAGCAUCGGCUAACUUCGUGCCAGCAGCCGCGGUAAUACGAGGGAUGCAAGCGUUAUCCGGAAUUAUUGGGCGUAAAGCGUCCGCAGGUGGCUCUGUAAGUCUGUCGUUAAAGAAUGGAGCUUAACUCCAUACAGGCGAUGGAAACUACAAGGCUAGAGUUUGGUAGGGGUCACGGGAAUUCUUAGUGUAGCGGUGAAAUGCGUAGAUAUUAAGAAGAACACCAGCGGCGAAAGCGCGUGACUGGGCCAGUACUGACACUCAUGGACGAAAGCUAGGGGAGCGAAAGGGAUUAGAUACCCCUGUAGUCCUAGCCGUAAACGAUGAUAACUAGGUGUUGCUC
Molecule: ribosomal RNA, 700 nt
Filed under: uncultured bacterium
Lineage: Bacteria
Description: bacterial SSU rRNA
Rfam family: Bacterial small subunit ribosomal RNA
Source: RNAcentral